AUACGUAGGGAGCGAGCGUUGUCCGGAAUUACUGGGUGUAAAGGGAGCGUAGGCGGGAGUGCAAGUCAGAUGUGAAAUACAUGGGCUCAACCCAUGGGCUGCAUUUGAAACUGCAUUUCUUGAGUGAAGUAGAGGUAAGCGGAAUUCCUGGUGUAGCGGUGAAAUGCGUAGAUAUCAGGAGGAACACCGGUGGCGAAGGCGGCUUACUGGGCUUUUACUGACGCUGAGGCUCGAAAGCGUGGGGAGCAAACAGGAUUAGAUUCCCUGGUAGUCCACGCUGUAAACGAUGAUUACUAGGUGUGGGGGGACUGAACCCUUCCGUGCCGCAGUUAACACAAUAAGUAAUCCACCUGGGGAGUACGGCCGCAAGGUUGAAACUCAAAUGAAUUGACGGGG
This 396-nucleotide ribosomal RNA is filed under the name uncultured bacterium. RNAcentral's name for it is "partial 16S ribosomal RNA". It matches the Rfam family "Bacterial small subunit ribosomal RNA", at positions 523 to 918 of the family's 1533-position model. The record is from RNAcentral.